CACUAGCUUUGGCGACCUGAGCAUUCAUGGAAUGUUUUCUGGCAUCCAAUACAUUGAGUACUUCAGUUGUAAGUCCGUAAGCAGUCCUCUUUGAAAGAGAAAAUGUAUACAUGCUUCAGUGAAUGGCCACCCCCUUCUAUUUCAGUAACAGUGCAAUUGCUAUCGGUACUUGCUAAUCAGUAUGAACUAGCAUUGCGGGGAAAACUUUCUCCAAAGCUCUUACAGAGUCCCCAAACUUUUUCAACAUAACCACGCAUCGAUUCACUUCAGCUACAACAUAAUACUUUCCGUUCUUAGUCAUAUCUAUGACUGUUAAAAUCUGCAUUCUUAUUUUCAUAUUGUGUUCUGUAUUAUUAGUUUUGUCUAAAGCCUGAAUUGAUGCCUUUUCAGGUGUAAAGGAAGUGAAGUGUGAACCCAGUGUUUCUUUUGACUACUCCCAAGUCUGAAAUGAAUUCCAUGAGGAGGAAAAGGCUGAAUUGAGUGCUUGAAAUAAAGGAGGAGCAUCCUAAGAAGCAGGUAUUUGCUGACUAACUAUAAUAAUUUUCUCUUUUUAUUAAAAAUGAAGCGUUGUGCAUCAUUAAUUUAUCUUUCUGGACUUGGUUUAAGUUAAUGUCCGCUUGAGUGUUUGGUAAUGCUGAGAUGUAAUUGUACAGCUGCCCAUGCCCUUUCAGUGCAUUUGUGCGUUCGCGCUCUCAGUUUAGAAGUGCUUCCUUUUGUACAAUUGGUUUUUUGUCCAAUUCAGGUCGCACUGAAGAAAAUGUUUGUUGCAUGUUUGUGUUUGUUUUUUCAAGCGUGGCUUGUUAUCAUUAUUUUGUGCAGUAACCACCCUUUUGGGUUUGCUGCAUAUGGUCAAUCUUGUCGUAAAUCUACUAUAGGUGUAAGUUUUUGCCCUUAUGUCCUAUGAAAACCUUACUCUUUCACGUCUCCAGUCAGGUUGGAGAAAAAGAUCAGAGUUUCAUCUGUUGUGAAAGUGGAAGGUAAUUAGACGUCAGAAGAUUACAAGGAAAGAUAAAGUAUGUCUACUUAUGUCGUUGUUAUUCUUAGAGUAAAAUGCAUCAUAGGUCCUAUAACUAUCCAAGGUGUGUCACUUUAGUCCUAUAACUAUCAAAGUGCAUAUUUGGGUCCCAAAACUAUUUUGAGUCGUUCACUGCAGGUCCUAUGGUCGCCCCAGCAGCGUUGACCGUCCGACGUGUCACCUGGACCGGUGCCACAUCGACCAGAGGGGCCCACCAGGCUAAACAAUGAAGCGUUUAUUUGCAGGAAAGCCCUUGAAAUCUCAGCUCGUCUCAUUCUCAGGACGGAGGUACUACUUAUGUAAUGUGGUACUGCAUCAUGCAGAGUGCAACCCAGUACCACAUUACAUAGUUGCAAGCUUUAGUGUGUAUCUAUGUUUAUGUAAGAGCACUCUUUAUGUAAUGACAAUAUGAUGUGCUACUUCCUGGAAUUGUGGCAAUUCUCAUCUAUAUAUUUGCCUGUUAAGUUGCAACAUCAUUUCUCUCUUCUAUGAUUGUCCAGACCAAGUAUCAUUUAUCAUUUGUAAUCUUAGAGAGAUGGUGUGCAAUAUAUAUUCAUUUGUCAUUUGCAUGAUCAUUUGCCGCGCUGGCUUGUUCCUGCUACAUCUUGCUGCCGUCGAGCUUGUUCCAAACAUGGCAGAACUGAUGAAAGAGAGAUGAGAUUGCAGAGAGGAGGGCUGCGGCUGGAGAGCAAACAGUUUGAUGGACCAAAUUGCAAAAUGUAUCAACCACCAAUGGCGGGAAAUCUUCCACCACGCGCCCUGGGUCGUUCUGGCACUGGUCCAGGUGACACGUCAGCCAACAAUCACGGCUGGGGCGACCAUAGGACCUGCAGUGAACGACUCAAAAUAGUUUUGGGACCCAAAUCUGCACUUUGAUAGUUAUAGGACUAAAGUGACACACCUUGGAUAGUUAUAGGACCUAUGAUGCAUUUUACUCUUAUUCUUACUAUGGAUGAUUUCUGUUGUUACAACCUUUUUUUCUAGAGCAAAACAGUAGAUUUCCUUACUGCAUGUAUUUAUAUUACAAGUUUAAAAGGAUACACAGCAAAACAUAAAAUAAAUAAAACAAAUAGUACAAGGCAGAGCCCUUUUAUCUCUUUAAUGUCGGGGCUUGCUCUGAACAAAGAAAAUACUACCGCUGAUACAAAGUUGUACUGAAUGAACGAUAAUUAAUAAUAUGGAUUCGAAGAAGUAUGUUUAAUUAUGAGUAAUUUUUUAGGUAAUAUCCAUCUAGGUUGGUUUGCUUGCUGCUGCUGCAAUUGUUAUUCUAGGUUGGUUUGCUUGCUGCUUUUAUUACUUUAGAUUUAUUGUAUUGCUAUUUUUUUCUUAUUCAGGCGGAUAAAUUUACACGGAAUCAUACCACAUGAGCUCACAUCGCGAUCCACAGACGAUCCAUCUCUUUCAAGAGCGGCCGUUGUCCCACGACAUAGUUUCUUGACCUGCCAACCAUGAUUCAUAGGAUAGGAAGUGGUGCUCUCUCCCGGUGCAAUGCACGGGCAUUUGUGCUAGUGUUACUAAGCGUACCAAAUUUCACUGGAAGGACUUGAAGCAUGUCAUAAACUUUGUUGAUAAUCUGACAGAGAUAGCACAGCGUAUGAACGCUGGAUUUUGGAUGGGAUUAAUUAUACCUAUGGUGCACACAAUGAACAAGACCAAUUGUGUUCACAAAACGCUG
RNAcentral lists this long non-coding RNA (2690 nucleotides) under Triticum aestivum (bread wheat). Its description in RNAcentral is "long non-coding RNA (TAES_LNC000396)". The record is from RNAcentral. Lineage: Eukaryota; Viridiplantae; Streptophyta; Magnoliopsida; Poales; Poaceae.